This 514-nucleotide ribosomal RNA is filed under the name uncultured bacterium. Its description in RNAcentral is "partial 16S ribosomal RNA". It matches the Rfam family "Bacterial small subunit ribosomal RNA", at positions 28 to 523 of the family's 1533-position model. The record is from RNAcentral.
GACGAACGCUGGCGGCGUGCCUAAUACAUGCAAGUCGAGCGGAUGAAAGAGGAGCUUGCUCCUCUAGAUUCAGCGGCGGACGGGUGAGUAACACGUGGGCAACCUGCCCUGUAGAUUGGGAUAACUCCGGGAAACCGGGGCUAAUACCGAAUAAUCCUUCGGACCUCAUGGUCCGAUGUUUAAAGACGGUUUCGGCUGUCACUACAGGAUGGGCCCGCGGCGCAUUAGCUAGUUGGUGAGGUAACGGCUCACCAAGGCCACGAUGCGUAGCCGACCUGAGAGGGUGAGCGGCCACACUGGGACUGAGAGACGGCCCAGACUCCUACGGGAGGCAGCAGUAGGGAAUCUUCCACAAUGGACGAAAGUCUGAUGGAGCAACGCCGCGUGAGUGAAGAAGGUUCUCGGAUCGUAAAACUCUGUUGUGAGGGAAGAACAAGUACCGGAGUAACUGCCGGUGCCUUGACGGUACCUCAUUAGAAAGCCACGGCUAACUACGUGCCAGCCGCCGCCGUAA